CAAAAAGAAUUCGCUUACCGUCACCGUUAUUUCACCAUCAAUUUGUUUCCGGGUAACGUUUGGCAAAACAGCCGUUUCAUUUUUCUUGGGAAUCAGUGGAAUUAAAGCUCCAAUUCCUUCUUAUGAACAGACGCUCCCCCAUCCAGGUUUUGCUGCUCGAUGUCUUCGAAACUAUUUAGCACAAAUGACAAAAGAUGGACAUAUUAUUGCCUUUCGCCUAUUCCUUUGGAUUUUACAGGGGCGUUAUGGCCGGUGAUAUUAGCAUGGACCUUUGAUUUUGUAGGAUGCACAUUCAGUUUGUAUUAAGGAUGCACAUACAUAGGCUGCUAUGUACUGAUGUAUUGCUAUAGUGAGCUGCAUUGAUUUUAUCAAAGGUCAGGAUAGUGAUUUGAUCGCUGGCCUCCUCAAAUUUGUACAGCAUUGCGUGCUGUUCAUUGCAAAUCUAGACGUUGACAGUCUAUAUUUCAAAACUGAGGCCUACACAGAAUUCUAUAUGUAUCUAUGAGAUCGAGUAUGCCCUUCUUCUUAGUUGGAAAAGCCUCGAGUACAAGUUGAUUAUUAAUUCUCAACAAUCUUUAUGUUCCCACUUGCUGGGGGUACUUAGAGAGAACGAGAGAGAUUGGAACGGAAUUGAAUCGAACUGAAAAUAGAAUCAUCGGAAUUUGGAUGGAAAUUAGAAAUAUCUGCCGCAGCAGCCAAUCCCCAUUAAUACAUAGCUGAAUAACACAUUAGGUUUCAUUACAGAUUAAAUACCACAAUCAUUGGCCGACAAACCCUAAUGAUAGCGUAUUACCACUAGACACGUGUA
Papaver somniferum (opium poppy) is the source of this 808-nucleotide long non-coding RNA. RefSeq lists it as uncharacterized. Lineage: Eukaryota; Viridiplantae; Streptophyta; Magnoliopsida; Ranunculales; Papaveraceae. The transcript has 3 exons. The record is from RefSeq and is a predicted model, not a curated record.